RNAcentral lists this ribosomal RNA (339 nucleotides) under Triticum aestivum (bread wheat). RNAcentral's name for it is "partial small subunit ribosomal RNA". The record is from RNAcentral. Lineage: Eukaryota; Viridiplantae; Streptophyta; Magnoliopsida; Poales; Poaceae.
AUGCAACAACAAUUUAAACAUUUUAAUUGUUGUUACUAUGAUGCGAAUGACAUGGGCAAGUUUUAUGCAAGUUUUAAAGAAAAUGUUGAUAAGAGCAUAAUAUGGAGCAUAUGUCAUCGUGGCGGAAAGAAAGGAUGCCACGGCGACGAUAACGGAAACAGUACCACGACAACGUUCCGGUUCCGGUACUCGAUUGAGAUACCGAUGCAAAGGGGAAGUGUGCGGAACGUGACAUGCAGGGAUGGUGGGGUGAUCUCGGAUACCGAGUUCCCACAUGUGGGUGGCAAGGCAAAAGAGGAGGACCGAGCAAGUGACAACUCGGGCACGGUGCAAACAUAG